UAAGGUAGCUAUAGCAUGAGGGUUCCACCUCUUCUCCAUUCCGAACAGAGAAGUUAAGCCUUGUAGCGCCAAUGGUACUGCGUUAAUGUGGGAGAGUAGGUCGCUGCCGUUU
This 112-nucleotide ribosomal RNA is filed under the name Bacteroides nordii. The record is from RNAcentral. Lineage: Bacteria; Pseudomonadati; Bacteroidota; Bacteroidia; Bacteroidales; Bacteroidaceae.